Molecule: long non-coding RNA, 654 nt
Organism: Astyanax mexicanus (Mexican tetra)
Lineage: Eukaryota; Metazoa; Chordata; Actinopteri; Characiformes; Acestrorhamphidae
Exons: 3
Source: RefSeq, a predicted model, not a curated record
UAAAUAUUAAAAUGCUGUUACAUUGGUGACUUGUUUAAGACUCUGACUUGACUUUCAAGACUUGGGACUCAUGUCAGAACAAUCAAAUGUGCUCAUGUAGCUUUAACCUAAAAGGAAACCGCCCCUUUUAUUUAUCUGGCUGAAACCUCCAACCAGCCAUCACAGCUUUGAAUGGAGAGGCGUGACUAAAACGCUCACAACUGAAAAGGAGGAGUUUGGUCCUAAUACAACCUGUCGCCUGUAGUGCUGCUGUGCUGUUAGUGCUUCAGAAACUGUGGGUUCUCACAAUUGAAGUGUUUAUGGAGGCCUUUUCCAGACGUCUUUCAAGUAAACAGACCUCUCAACAGAAGAGAGAGAACCUGGCAUACAAGGUGUACAAUACAAACUGUCUGGAUCAGCCAUGCCUGGAUUGUUGUACUGAAGGUCCCUGAUACAUAGAGUGUGUGUGUGUGUGUGUGUGUGUGUGUGUGUGUGUGUGUGUGUGUGUGUGUGUGUGUGUGUGUGUGUGUGUGUGUGUGUGUGUGUGUGUGUGUGUGUGUGUGUGUGUGUUGAAUAUAAAAAAAAAUAUGUAUGUAUAAAUAUAUAUGUGAUUCAUCUGAAGACAUUUAACUAAGCUACUACUGUUAUGCUUGAAUAAAUCAACUUAUCUUUAAA